GCUCAGAACGAACGCUGGCGGCAGGCUUAACACAUGCAAGUCGAACGCCCCGCAAGGGGAGUGGCAGACGGGUGAGUAACGCGUGGGAAUCUACCCUUUUCUACGGAACAACUGAGGGAAACUUCAGCUAAUACCGUAUACGGCCGAGAGGCGAAAGAUUUAUCGGAGAAGGAUGAGCCCGCGUUGGAUUAGCUAGUUGGUGGGGUAAAGGCCUACCAAGGCGACGAUCCAUAGCUGGUCUGAGAGGAUGAUCAGCCACACUGGGACUGAGACACGGCCCAGACUCCUACGGGAGGCAGCAGUGGGGAAUAUUGGACAAUGGGCGCAAGCCUGAUCCAGCCAUGCCGCGUGAGUGAUGAAGGCCCUAGGGUUGUAAAGCUCU
Molecule: ribosomal RNA, 382 nt
Filed under: Phyllobacterium sp. R-46157
Lineage: Bacteria; Pseudomonadati; Pseudomonadota; Alphaproteobacteria; Hyphomicrobiales; Phyllobacteriaceae
Description: bacterial SSU rRNA
Rfam family: Bacterial small subunit ribosomal RNA
Source: RNAcentral